This 253-nucleotide ribosomal RNA is filed under the name uncultured bacterium. RNAcentral describes it as "partial 16S ribosomal RNA". It matches the Rfam family "Bacterial small subunit ribosomal RNA", at positions 524 to 776 of the family's 1533-position model. The record is from RNAcentral.
UACGUAGGGUGCGAGCGUUAAUCGGAAUUACUGGGCGUAAAGCGUGCGCAGGCGGUUUUGUAAGCCAGAUGUGAAAUCCCCGGGCUCAACCUGGGAAUGGCAUUUGGGACUGCAAGGCUUGAGUGCGGCAGAGGAGACUGGAAUUCCUGGUGUAGCAGUGAAAUGCGUAGAUAUCAGGAGGAAUACCGAUGGCGAAGGCAGGUCUCUGGGCUGACACUGACGCUCAUGCACGAAAGCGUGGGGAGCAAACGGG